This 489-nucleotide ribosomal RNA is filed under the name uncultured bacterium. Its description in RNAcentral is "partial 16S ribosomal RNA". It matches the Rfam family "Bacterial small subunit ribosomal RNA", at positions 28 to 507 of the family's 1533-position model. The record is from RNAcentral.
GAUGAACGCUAGCGGCAGGCCUAAUACAUGCAAGUCGAACGGGAUCCAGAUCAAAGCUUGCUUUGGUUUGGUGAGAGUGGCGUACGGGUGCGUAACGCGUGAGCAACCUACCCUUGUCAGGGGGAUAGCCCGGCGAAAGUCGGAUUAAUACCGCAUGACAUCAUUGAGAGGCAUCUUUCGAUGAUCAAAGAUUUAUCGGACAAGGAUGGGCUCGCGUGACAUUAGCUAGUUGGUAAGGUAACGGCUACCAAGGCUACGAUGUCUAGGGGCUCUGAGAGGAGAAUCCCCCACACUGGUACUGAGACACGGACCAGACUCCUACGGGAGGCAGCAGUAAGGAAUAGUGGUCAAUGGACGGAAGUCUGAACCAGCCAUGCCGCGUGCAGGAAGACGGCCCUAUGGGUUGUAAACUGCUUUUAUACGGGAACAAACGUCGGUACGUGUACCGGUCUGAGUGUACCGUAAGAAUAAGGAUCGGCUAACUCCGUG